Molecule: non-coding RNA, 2383 nt
Organism: Equus caballus (horse)
Lineage: Eukaryota; Metazoa; Chordata; Mammalia; Perissodactyla; Equidae
Source: RefSeq, a predicted model, not a curated record
CAGUGAGGAAGAGCAGAGUGUGGAAUCUGUUGCAAAUGAAGGAGACUGAGGUGAGAAGAAAAGGUGUCUGAAAACUUCUGAUUUGUCUGAGGAGGUGGCUCCCAGUUAACGUUAACAUCCUUUACAUUCUGAAGGUUCACAAAAAAAAAGCUUACAAAAAUCUUGGUGACCUCAGAGACUUCUUGGAAGCCACAAAGCUCAUCACCUUUUGAUUAUUCCGUUUUAAGAGAAUCAAUACACAUGAAAUUUGCCUUACAUCUGCAUUUAUUUAUUUUAGUACUUUAGUGUAUGUAUUCCAGUAAUGUGAUUACAUAAGAACAAGGUAAACAAGACCCCUGGCCCCAAGGUUUAAAUUAUAGAAUGUCACAUGGUUUCAAAGAUAUUGGUGUAAAGUAUUUAGCAGAAGACAUUGUAGAUUUUAUCCAUCCCCAUGUCUUGGAAAAGUAACUUGCAAGUUUGAAAAGAAAAACCUAGAUGCCACCCAGAUGCCCUACUUCUCAUGACUAGAGGUAUUUUCUAGAAUUCACUAACACAGAAUUAUCUCCUAGGUAAGCUCUUCUAGCUCAAGCCAAGCUGAUUCUACCAUUUGACAGCUCGAUCCAUGGUGACAUGGAAAUGACUUAUUGCAGUCCAUUAUUUUGUAGUUUCCCACGUGAGGAAAUUAGUUGUAUAUGGGAAAGCGUCGAUCCUUAUCCGUCCUGUCAACUGUAGUCAACUCUGGAUUAUUUACAGACCUGAUAUGGGACCGGGCAGAGGGUAACAUAACCACCUCCUCUUGCCAUGGGCAAUGUGGGAAGGUGGUUUCAGAUGGUGCAUGGCUUGUUUGUGGAUGGAACACCAGUAGUUGACCAUAUAUUCUGAGAUCUCCAAGAAUAAUUCUAGCAAGUCAAUAAGUCUAAAGCAAAACUCAGCAAUCUAGAACCCUUAGGGAAUGAAUGCAUUUGGGUAGACAAAUUUUAAGGACGUCUAAUAAUUUCCUUUUUUAGUGCUAUGCAAGGUUAAUUCCACUGAAAGCACUUUUUAGUAGAACUUUUCCUACAGUGUAUUAUUUACUUCCUCAACUUUAUAACAGAGAACUCUGAACUCCAAUAAAUCUUUUCCUGAUGACCUGGCCUCCUUAUGUUGAGUAUCAAUCAUAGUACUAGCUGAAAUACAAUGACUAUUACUGUGUUUACUGCCAUUCUCUGGAGAAUACAUUAAUUGUUACAGGUUUUUAUAGCAUAUGGUUACCCCACACUAAGUGGCCCACACUGAUGUACUCCCUAAUUUUAUUCACUCCUUCUCAUUGCAGUUUGUGUACUUGCCUACGCAGACACUCUCUCCCCUUUGAUUUAUUUAUCCUAAUCUGUUCCAGGCACAGAGUCCAACAACCCUGGGGCAAGAGAAUUAAUAGGCUCUUAGAUCUAUUCUUAUCAGUCAAAGGGAGGAACCCAAUGUUGUGACAUUGUCAUGACAAUGCUGUGACAUUGAUUUUGGGGGCUCCAUGUUCUCCUAUGUUUACUCUUCGGCUCUCCUCCGGUUUAAGGCCAAAUGAAACUAACAGGUAAUGGAUUUUAGACUGGAGAGUCGUAGGAGAGCUACUCAGAUACCAACUGAAGUCAAUUCAACUCUUAUCUACAAAAGAAACCUGCAGUUCUUAAUGCUGGGUUUGCCUUCGUACCUCGAGCUGAGGACUCAAGUGUUACAGAGCUUCAUGUAGAACAAAAACGCGUGCUGAGGCGGGGGCAAUACCAGCCAGGAAACUUACAUUUCAGUUAAGGUUGGGGGGAACUGGUUUUGUUUUUAGGUUGGUAAUUUCUGGCUGCUGCUUCAAAGGCUAUACCAGCGUGGCUGGAGGAGACUGAAAAGGCCCGUCCUGACCAUGCAUGAUGUAUUAGGUCUCUUUCCACGUCCCGAAUGGGAGGGGCCAGUUCCUCAUUCUCCCGACAAACAAGUGCCGAGCUGAGAACUGGAGUUACAGGUGCUUUCACACAUGUACACACCCAGGGGGUUCUAUUAUUUUCUCUUUAUAGCGUUGUCCGAGAUCUACACAGGCACAGCCGUUACAGGAAUUCAGUGUGUUUACACAGGCACUCACAUAAUAGUUCUAUCAGAAUUCUCAGUCCUUGGGCUUCCUCUCUGUCCUUGUGCCUUCCUUCUCCUCCUUGGAGCGUUAGGACUGGAUUUCCUUUCCUGUCAUCCUGACACAGGGGUGUGGUGGCCGGUAAGAGGUUAUGACAUCCCAUAGGACUUAAGGGCCCAUCUGGAGAAACCAGCAAGCCAGGACCAGAAGAAGCUGGUCGCAACAGGAUCUGAACAAACAGAAUACAAGAGGGAAACCCAGAGAGCAGCUGAAUGUCGCCUCUAGUACCUGUGGGGUGGUCUGCCUCUGAAGGUGACAUUG